Molecule: ribosomal RNA, 508 nt
Filed under: uncultured bacterium
Lineage: Bacteria
Description: partial 16S ribosomal RNA
Source: RNAcentral
GGAGUUAGCCGGUGCUUCUUCUGUGAGUGAUGUCCUUCCUGCCGGCUAUUAACCCGCAGGCCUUCUUCCUCACUGAAAGUGCUUUACAACCCGAAGGCCUUCUUCACACACGCGGCAUGGCUGGAUCAGGGUUGCCCCCAUUGUCCAAUAUUCCCCACUGCUGCCUCCCGUAGGAGUCUGGGCCGUGUCUCAGUCCCAGUGUGGCUGAUCAUCCUCUCAGACCAGCUACGGAUCGUCGCCUUGGUGAGCCGUUACCUCACCAACCAGCUAAUCCGACAUAGGCUCAUCCGAUAGCGCGAGGCCCGAAGGUCCCCCGCUUUCCCCCGUAGGGCGUAUGCGGUAUUAGCCUGGGUUUCCCCAGGUUAUCCCCCACUACCGGGCAGAUUCCUAUGCAUUACUCACCCGUCCGCCGCUCGCCACCAGGGAGCAAGCUCCCCGUGCUGCCGCUCGACUUGCAUGUGUUAGGCCUGCCGCCAGCGUUCAUCUGAGCCAUGAUACAAACUACUGA